Molecule: ribosomal RNA, 544 nt
Filed under: uncultured bacterium
Lineage: Bacteria
Description: bacterial SSU rRNA
Rfam family: Bacterial small subunit ribosomal RNA
Source: RNAcentral
UGGGGAAUCUUGGACAAUGGGGGCAACCCUGAUCCAGCCAUGCCGCGUGAGUGAUGAAGGCCUUAGGGUCGUAAAGCUCUUUCGCCUGUGAAGAUAAUGACGGUAGCAGGUAAAGAAACCCCGGCUAACUCCGUGCCAGCAGCCGCGGUAAUACGGAGGGGGUUAGCGUUGUUCGGAAUUACUGGGCGUAAAGCGCACGUAGGCGGACCAGAAAGUUGGGGGUGAAAUCCCGGGGGCUCAACCCCGGAACUGCCUCCAAAACUAUUGGUCUAGAGUUCGAGAGAGGUGAGUGGAAUUCCAAGUGUAGAGGUGAAAUUCGUAGAUAUUCGGAGGAACACCAGUGGCGAAGGCGGCUCACUGGCUCGAUACUGACGCUGAGGUGCGAAAGUGUGGGGAGCAAAACAGGAUUAGAUACCCUGGUAGUCCACACCGUAAAACGAUGAAUGCCAGUCGUCGGAUAGCAUGCUAUUCGGUGACACACCUAACGGAUUAAAGCAUUCCGCCUGGGGAGUACGGUCGCAAGAUUAAAACUUAAAUGAAUUGA